Molecule: ribosomal RNA, 253 nt
Filed under: uncultured bacterium
Lineage: Bacteria
Description: partial 16S ribosomal RNA
Rfam family: Bacterial small subunit ribosomal RNA
Source: RNAcentral
UACGUAGGUGGCAAGCGUUAUCCGGAUUUACUGGGUGUAAAGGGCGUGUAGGCGGGAGUGCAAGUCAGAUGUGAAAACCACGGGCUCAACCUGUGGCCUGCAUUUGAAACUGUACUUCUUGAGUACUGGAGAGGCAGACGGAAUUCCUAGUGUAGCGGUGAAAUGCGUAGAUAUUAGGAGGAACACCAGUGGCGAAGGCGGCCUGCUGGGCUUUAACUGACGCUGAUGCACGAAAGCAUGGGGAGCAAACAGG